Brachyspira sp. CAG:484 is the source of this 344-nucleotide non-coding RNA. The record is from Rfam. NCBI's taxonomy places the organism in Bacteria, Pseudomonadati, Spirochaetota, Spirochaetia, Brachyspirales, Brachyspiraceae.
UAAAGCAGCCGGAUAAUCGCGCAUGAAAAUGUGAGGAAAGUCCGUGCAUCCAAGGACAGGCCGCCGGAGAAACUCCGGGCAGCGUGAGCUGGCGGAUAGGACCACAGAAAAAAUACUGCUAACGGCUUUUAUAAAGUACGAGCGAUGGUGCAACGGUGAGGUAAGAGCAUCACCGGCGGUAUUGAGAAAUACCGGCCAGGCAACCCCCGGCAGGAUGCAAGAUUGAAUUGAAGGUUUAAAGGCUGUCCGCCUACUUCUAAAAAAUCGCUUGAGAUUGGGAGUAAUCCUGAUACCAGACAGAUGAUUAUCUAAAACAGAACACGGCUUACGGGCUGCUUUAUUUU